UGGGGAAUAUUGCACAAUGGGCGCAAGCCUGAUGCAGCGACGCCGCGUGGAGGAUGAAGGCUUUCGAGUUGUAAACUCCUGUUAAGUGGGAAGAAAGACUGCUGACUAAUAAUCAGUGGGGAUGACGGUACCACUAGAGAAAGCACCGGCAAACUUCGUGCCAGCAGCCGCGGUAAUACGAAGGGUGCAAGCGUUAUUCGGAGUUACUGGGCGUAAAGAGUAUGUAGGCGGUUUGUUAAGUUAGUUGUUAAAGACCACGGCUCAACUGUGGAAAGGCAGCUGAUACUGACAGGCUAGAGCGCAGAAGAGAGGAAUGGAAUUCCCGGAGUAGCGGUAAAAUGCGUAGAUCUCGGGAGGAACACCGGUUGCGAAGGCGGUUCCUUGGUCUGUGGCUGACGCUAAAGUACGAAAGCGUGGGGAGCAAACAGG
RNAcentral lists this ribosomal RNA (429 nucleotides) under uncultured bacterium. RNAcentral's name for it is "bacterial SSU rRNA". It matches the Rfam family "Bacterial small subunit ribosomal RNA", at positions 355 to 776 of the family's 1533-position model. The record is from RNAcentral.